RNAcentral lists this transfer RNA (113 nucleotides) under Pseudozyma flocculosa. It matches the Rfam family "tRNA". From Rfam's summary of the family: Transfer RNA (tRNA) molecules are approximately 80 nucleotides in length. Their secondary structure includes four short double-helical elements and three loops (D, anti-codon, and T loops). The record is from Rfam by way of RNAcentral. RNAcentral also lists the same sequence under 1 other name. Lineage: Eukaryota; Fungi; Basidiomycota; Ustilaginomycetes; Ustilaginales; Ustilaginaceae.
GGUUCUAUGGAGUAGUGGUCAACUCUAGCGGUUCUGACUGAAGUGCAGGAUCCCCUUGCUUGAAGGGCUUGUUUGGAAUCCGCUUGCCCCCGGUUCGAAUCCGGGUAGGACCU